This 458-nucleotide ribosomal RNA is filed under the name uncultured bacterium. Its description in RNAcentral is "partial 16S ribosomal RNA". It matches the Rfam family "Bacterial small subunit ribosomal RNA", at positions 338 to 795 of the family's 1533-position model. The record is from RNAcentral.
CCUACGGGGGGCAGCAGUGAGGAAUAUUGGUCAAUGGGCGAGAGCCUGAACCAGCCACGUCGCGUGAGGGAGUACUGCCCUAUGGGUUGUAAACUUCUUUUGUCGGGGAGCAAAAGCCGGACGUGUCCGGCUGUGAGAGUACCCGAAGAAAAAGCAUCGGCAAACUCCGUGCCCGCAGCCGCGGUAAUACGGAGGAUGCGAGCGUUAUCGGGAUUUUUUGGGUUUAAAGGGUGCGCAGGCGGAUUUUUAAGUCAGCGGUAAAAUCGUGGGGCUCAACCCCAUCCAGUCGUUGAAACUGGGGAUCUAGAGUGUGCAAGAGGUAUGCGGAAUGCGUGGUGUAGCGGUGAAAUGCAUAGAUAUCACGCAGAACCCCGAUUGCGAAGGCAGCAUACCGGUGCACAACUGACGCUGAGGCACGAAAGCGUGGGUAUCGAACAGGAUUAGAUACCCCAGUAGUC